AUAUAUAUAUAUAUAUAUAUAUAUAUAUAAAACAUGUCUUAAAUAAAUAACAAAUAUCUUGUUAAAUAAAUUUAUUAUAAUAUCAUAAAUCUUUUUUUGAAUAUAUUGAACACAUAUCUUUCAUUAUAUAUAUAAAAUUUAUUAUAAUAUAUUUUUUUAUCUAACGUUUAAAAUAAAAAGAGACGAUUAAAAAUGAAUCGCGCCAUUAUUCGCUUACGCGUACGUUUUUUCUGGUAUGUGACGUACUCUGUGACAACCUGCUUAUUCAGCUGAAGAAAGAAUAAUAACCUCCUACUAGAAAUAUUGCUUCGUAAUAUUAAUAAUUAAUCAUUAAUAAUUACACAGACCAAUUACUAUAUAUAUUUUUAUAUUGUAUAUUAUGCAUAAACAUUAUGUAUAAUAUAUAAUAAUAUAUUUUUCUAUAAGAAUGCAUAAAAUAAAAACUCGAAUAAAAUAUAUGUAUGUUUAGGAAAAAUGGAAAUAAUUUGUAUAAUAAAUGAAAAAAGUUCGUUUGAAAAUAGUUAAUGGAAAGAAAGAUCCAACAACGAAUCAAGAUCCAAUGCGAAUCAUGAUAUUAAUUAUACAUAUAUGGACGGAACAUGGGGCACUGGCAUUAAAACGAUUUUUCAUAGAAGACAUUUGCAAGGUCACUUAAAGCAAGGCACACAAACGUCCGUUAUGUAAGAUUAUUCUUAUAAGCUUAAGAUUUUAGGUAUGUGCGUUUCUCAUAAUUUAUACAUUUAUGUAUGAUGGACAUAUACAUAGAAAGGAAAAAAAGAAAGAGAUGGAGCAUGUUCAUAUGUAGAUGUAUAUAUGCGAUUGCACACGUAUAUAUUUUCAAAGAAAUAACACCAAAAGAGAUGGUAAAAAGAAUGGAAGAAGAAUGUGUCUGUAUUUGCGCGUAUGUAAUGUACACGGAACAAACAAAACGUCAGCAUGAAAUUGAUAUUUGCUGAAUAUAGAUAAUCGUAAAAAUGUGCGUAAAAAUAAAAAAAAAAAUAAAAAAGAGAAGAAAAAAAGAAA
Molecule: long non-coding RNA, 1023 nt
Organism: Apis cerana (Asiatic honeybee)
Lineage: Eukaryota; Metazoa; Arthropoda; Insecta; Hymenoptera; Apidae
Source: RefSeq, a predicted model, not a curated record